This 485-nucleotide ribosomal RNA is filed under the name uncultured bacterium. RNAcentral describes it as "bacterial SSU rRNA". It matches the Rfam family "Bacterial small subunit ribosomal RNA", at positions 1014 to 1501 of the family's 1533-position model. The record is from RNAcentral.
UUUCUUCGGGGGACGCGGUGACAGGUGCUGCAUGGCUGUCGUCAGCUCGUGUCGUGAGAUGUUGGUUAAGUCCCGCAACGAGCGCAACCCUCGUCCUUAGUUGCCAUCAUUCAGUUGGGCACUCUAAGGAAACCGCCGGUGAUAAGCCGGAGGAAGGUGGGGAUGACGUCAAGUCCUCAUGGCCCUUACACGCUGGGCUACACACGUGCUACAAUGGCGGUGACAGUGGGCAGCAAACUCGCGAGGGUGAGCUAAUCUCCAAAAAGCCGUCUCAGUUCGGAUUGUUCUCUGCAACUCGAGAGCAUGAAGGCGGAAUCGCUAGUAAUCGCGGAUCAGCAUGCCGCGGUGAAUACGUUCCCAGGCCUUGUACACACCGCCCGUCACACCAUGGGAGUUGGUUUCACCCGAAGGCAGUGCGCUAACCGCAAGGGGGCAGCUGACCACGGUGGGAUCAGCGACUGGGGUGAAGUCGUAACAAGGUAGCC